Molecule: ribosomal RNA, 1244 nt
Filed under: metagenome
Description: bacterial LSU rRNA
Rfam family: Bacterial large subunit ribosomal RNA
Source: RNAcentral
UGAAUACGAGACGCUAAGGCGUCGAAGUAGUGUAUAUCAUACUUCCAAGAAAAGCUUGCAAUGUCAUAGAUAAAAAACGCCUGUACCAUAACCGACACAGGUGGGUAGGUAGAGUAUACUAAGGGGCGCGAGAUAACUCUCUCUAAGGAACUCGGCAAAAUAACUCCGUAACUUCGGAAGAAGGAGUGCCUUAUUCGUAAGGUUGCAAUAACAAGAUCCAAGCAACUGUUUAUCAAAAACACAGGUCUCCGCUAAGUCGCAAGACGAUGUAUGGGGGCUGACGCCUGCCCAGUGCCAGAAGGUUAAAGAAGUUGGUUAGCAAUUGCGAAGCUGAUAACUGAAGCCCUGGUGAACGGCGGCCGUAACUAUAACGGUCCUAAGGUAGCGAAAUUCCUUGUCGGGUAAGUUCCGACCCGCACGAAAGGCGUAAUGAUUUGGAUACUGUCUCGGAGAGGGGCUCGGUGAAAUAGACUUGUCUGUGAAGAUGCGGACUACCUGCACCAGGACAGAAAGACCCUAUGAAGCUUUACUGUAACUUGAAAUUGAAAUUGGACUUUAUUCGCGCAGUAUAGGUGGGAGGCGUUGAUUAUAAUCUUGCGGGAUUAUUGGAGCCAUCAGUGAGAUACCACUCUUGUAAUGUUAGAUUUCUAACUUUGAAUCAUUAUCUGGUCAAAGAACAGUUUCAGGCGGGCAGUUUGACUGGGGCGGUCGCCUCCUAAACGGUAACGGAGGCGUACAAAGGUUUCCUCUGAACGGUUAGAAAUCGUAUCUAGAGUGUAAAGGCAUAAGGAAGCUUGACUGUGAGACCUACAAGUCGAGCAGGGACGAAAGUCGGUCUUAGUGAUCUGACGGUACUGAGUGGAAAGGCCGUCACUCAACGGAUAAAAGUUACUCUAAGGAUAACAGGCUGAUCUCCCCCAAGAGUUCACAUCGACGGGGAGGUUUGGCACCUCGAUGUCGGCUCAUCGCAUCCUGGGGCGGUAGUACGUCCCAAGGGUUGGGCUUUCGCCCAUGAAAGCGGUACGCGAGCUGGGUUCAGAACGUCGUGAGACAGUUCGGUCCAUAUCCGGUGUAGGCGUUAGAAUAUUGAGAGGAGCCUUCUUUAGUACGAGAGGACCGAGAAGGACAUACCUCUGGUGUACCAGUUAUCGUGCCAACGGUAAACGCUGGGUAGCUAUGUAUGGAGUGGAUAACCGCUGAAAGCAUCUAAGUGGGAAGCCCACCUCAAGAUAAGUAUUCUCACC